Bombina bombina (fire-bellied toad) is the source of this 114-nucleotide small nucleolar RNA. RefSeq annotates it as small nucleolar RNA SNORD89. The record is from RefSeq and is a predicted model, not a curated record. The transcript has a single exon. NCBI's taxonomy places the organism in Eukaryota, Metazoa, Chordata, Amphibia, Anura, Bombinatoridae.
GCCUGGGAAUGAUGACAUAAAAGGCCGAAUUGCAGUGCUUUUCUGAGCAGUCUAUUCUCUACAGGAAGGCAUAAUGACAAAUCCCCUUGAAGCGAAAACACAACUGACCCUGGC